AUUGAAGCCGAGUUUGCUGGCCUCACCACUGUUGACCUGAAAGGCUGUCUCUUUGCUGGCCUGGACAAGUAUCUGCAGAGGUUGGUGUGGUGGAGCUGAAGAAGCUGUUGACAACACUGGAUACUGAUUGUUCCAACCAAUGGAAAAGGACCGUCGUGCUGAUGGGGCUCCCCCACUACCUCAAAGAUGUUGCGUCCAACUUUUACAAGAAAGUUCAGUUGCUGAGGAGGACAAAACGAGAGGAAUGACAGUGGGCAUCCUCAUGGUGGCAGACGGGAAUGAUACUGUUGGUUUCGCUGUGGUCAUUGAGGAAGAAAUCAUCCUUCUGUCGCUCAGUGAUUUUCCAACAGCAGCUGUGACACUUCUAAUGGGUCUGCUCUACGCACUGAACAUUGACUACCCCAAAGAUACAAGGUACACAUUUGAAGUCAUUCAGAAGGUGCUCAUGGACAUUGGU
Long non-coding RNA from Sardina pilchardus (European sardine), 457 nucleotides. RefSeq lists it as uncharacterized. The record is from RefSeq and is a predicted model, not a curated record. Lineage: Eukaryota; Metazoa; Chordata; Actinopteri; Clupeiformes; Clupeidae. The transcript has 3 exons.